This is a long non-coding RNA of Solanum pennellii, 898 nucleotides long. RefSeq lists it as uncharacterized. The record is from RefSeq and is a predicted model, not a curated record. The transcript is spliced from 2 exons. Lineage: Eukaryota; Viridiplantae; Streptophyta; Magnoliopsida; Solanales; Solanaceae.
UUCUUCUAUAACAAAGUUUUUUUUUAUCCAAAAAUACUCUUUCUCCCUUCUAGCUUCCUCUUUUUUAGUUGAAUCUUCCGAUCUUAGGUUAGCAGAAGGAUUCUCCAAUUAUAUUUUUCUUCUGCUAUUCUCUACAGACUUUUCUAGAUAGAAUUAGAAUUUAGAUAGGAUAGUGGGCAGCCCGGGAUUUUAACCUACUUCUCAAAGACAUUGUUGACAUAAGUACCUGCAACCUCCCGACCUUUUCAUCUCCCAGUAGGGCAAGUGGGCGUUGCAUCAAACUGUUCCAAAUUCCAAUAGGAUUUAAAAAUAUUUCGAUACUUUUAUUUUAAAUGCUAUUGGAAUUUGGAACAGUUUGAUACAACACCCAGUUGCCCUUCCGGGAGAUGAAAAGGUCGGGGUGUCAAGGUUGCAGGUUCUAAUGUCAACUAUGUCUUUGAGAAGCGGGUGUCAAAGUUAGUUAUAAUAUACUAAUUUGCUCGGGUGAGGGUGUUCGAUACAGAUGCGGAUCUAGAGGUCAGAUCCUUCAUGAUUUAAUUUUUAAGAUUCGGGGAUAUGAAUCCAUAUAUGUAUAUGGGUGUAGGAAUUCGCCUACAAAUAAUUAAAGUAUCUAAAAAUAGAGUUGUAAAACCUAUUAUGAGAUAUUUUACAGAGAAUUUGACGAGAUCCGUGGAAAGAGAUUAAUAUUUAAAGACUAGCUUAUGAGCGGAGGAUUAUCCAAGUCCAUAUAAGGAGACUACCACUCCAUUCUCCGUCAAUGGUGAUGACAUGGGCAUCCAAAAUCGGUACUAAAACCAUAAGAAGCAGAGUGUUUGAUGUCUCCAACUCGAAUAUAACAAUUUUUUUCGAAAUUCAGUUGUAAUCUUUUAGUUUAUUUCAUUCUUUCAGCAUUGUGGUA